Molecule: ribosomal RNA, 253 nt
Filed under: uncultured prokaryote
Description: partial 16S ribosomal RNA
Rfam family: Bacterial small subunit ribosomal RNA
Source: RNAcentral
ACGUAGGGGGCAAGCGUUGUCCGGAUUUAUUGGGCGUAAAGAGCGUGUAGGCGGUUAUACAGGUCCGCUGUGAAAACUGGAGGCUUAACCUCCAGACGUCGGUGGAAGCCGUAUAACUAGAGUCCGGAAGAGGAGAGUGGAAUUCCUGGUGUAGCGGUGAAAUGCGCAGAUAUCAGGAAGAACACCCGUGGCGAAAGCGGCUCUCUGGGACGGUACUGACGCUGAGACGCGAAAGCGUGGGGAGCGAACAGGA